Molecule: ribosomal RNA, 264 nt
Filed under: uncultured Propionibacterium sp.
Lineage: Bacteria; Bacillati; Actinomycetota; Actinomycetes; Propionibacteriales; Propionibacteriaceae
Description: partial 16S ribosomal RNA
Rfam family: Bacterial small subunit ribosomal RNA
Source: RNAcentral
GAACACCGUUGGUGAAUCGGUUCUCUGGGCCUUUCCUGACGCUGAGGAGAGAAAGCGUGGGGAUCGAACAGGCUUAAAUACCCUGGUAGUCCACGCUGUAAACGGUGGGUACUAGGUGUGGGGUCCAUUCCAGGGGUUCCGUGCCGUAACUAACGCUUUAAGUACCCCGCCUGGGGAGUACGGCCGCCCCGCCAAAACUCAAAUGAAUUGACGGAAUCACUAGUGAAGUCGCAACCCCGGGACUUAUAACUGACCCAUAAUCCA